GAUGAACGCUGGCGGCGUGCCUAAAACAUGCAAGUCGAGCGAACGGACGAGAAGCUUGCUUUUCUGAUGUUAGCGGCGGACGGGUGAGUAACACGUGGAUAACCUACCUAUAAGACUGGGAUAACUUCGGGAAACCGGAGCUAAUACCGGAUAAUAUUUUGAACCGCAUGGUUCAAAAGUGAAAGACGGUCUUGCUGUCCCUUAUAGAUGGAUCCGCGCUGCAUUAGCUAGUUGGUAAGGUAACGGCUUACCAAGGCAACGAUGCAUAGCCGACCUGAGAGGGUGAUCAGCCACACUGUAACUGAGACACGGUCCAGACGCUCACGGGAGCCAGCUGUAGGGAACCGGCCGCAAUGUGCGAAACCUUGACGGAGCAACGUCGUGCGAGUUAUGAAGGUCUUCGGAUCGUAAAACGCUGCUAUUAGGGAAGAACAUAGGUGUAAGUAACUGUUCACACCUAGACGGGACCUAAUCAGAAAGCCCCGGCUAACUGCGUG
This 497-nucleotide ribosomal RNA is filed under the name uncultured bacterium. RNAcentral's name for it is "partial 16S ribosomal RNA". It matches the Rfam family "Bacterial small subunit ribosomal RNA", at positions 28 to 507 of the family's 1533-position model. The record is from RNAcentral.